CGCUCUGACCAGCCCGCAGAGCCAGCCCCCGACCCCGGGCCACCUGGGCCCCCGGGUUCCGCCGGCAGUCUCGCCACCACCGCGUGGGUCUGACAAGAUGUACCAGGUCCCACUGCCACUGGAUCGGGAUGGGACCCUGGUACGGCUCCGCUUCACCAUGGUGGCCCUGGUCACGGUCUGCUGUCCACUUGUCGCCUUCCUCUUCUGCAUCCUCUGGUCCCUGCUCUUCCACUUCAAGGAGACAACGGCCACACACUGUGGGGCAGGUUCCAGUCUGCGGGGGAGAUGGAGAAGGUGCCACCAUGCUGCUGCACAAAUCCCAGGAUAGCUGGGGAAUGAGAAUCCAGCACUUUGGGCCUAGGACGUGGAAGGAGAGGUCUUUUGGGAGAGGUGCCCAAUUACCUGCCCUCGGUGAGCUCAGCCAUCGGCGGGGAGGUGCCCCAGCGCUACGUGUGGCGUUUCUGCAUCGGCCUGCACUCGGCGCCUCGCUUCUUGGUGGCCUUCGCCUACUGGAACCACUACCUCAGCUGCACCUCCCCGUGUUCCUGCUAUCGCCCGCUCUGCCGCCUCAACUUCGGCCUCAAUGUCGUGGAGAACCUCGCGUUGCUAGUGCUCACUUAUGUCUCCUCCUCCGAGGACUUCAGUGGGUGCCUGGAUGAGGGAGGAGUGGGGAAGUGUUCCCUGAGGGGACGGGCCCGCCCCUACCACAUUCGGACCUUCCUACUUCGUGGUGUGGGCACUCCCUGCAAUGUGGCUCCCAAUCCUCUUUCCCUCCAGCCGUCCACGAAAAUGCUUUCAUUGUGUUCAUUGCCU
This 813-nucleotide small RNA is filed under the name Pan troglodytes (chimpanzee). Its description in RNAcentral is "retained intron". Lineage: Eukaryota; Metazoa; Chordata; Mammalia; Primates; Hominidae. The record is from RNAcentral.